RNAcentral lists this long non-coding RNA (6715 nucleotides) under Homo sapiens (human). RNAcentral's name for it is "non-protein coding lnc-EPB41L1-1:4". The record is from RNAcentral. Lineage: Eukaryota; Metazoa; Chordata; Mammalia; Primates; Hominidae.
AACUCUCUGCCCGGAGAGAGGCCCGACAGCUGCGACCCGACUGGUUCUGUCCGAGCCCGACGGGCCGCGCUGACCCAGCGACUGUGCCUGACUGACCACAGGUGCCGCCACCGCCUGAUAAUACGAGUGUGUCAGCUUCCGUCUGACUGAACGCAGGUUUCAUGGGUGCCUGACAGACCAAGACUGCUGGAUCUGUCAGCCUGGCCGCAGCUGGCUGACUGGCUGACUGGCUGGCUGGUUGACUGGCUGGCUGACUGGCUGCCUGGCUGGCUGGCUGGCUGGCUGCUCUUGCCCGGCCGCCAUCUGGGCCUGACGGGCUGCGUCUGACCGGGCGGCCUAUCUGCCUCUGCCUGACCAGCCUCCAUCUGUGCUUGGCGAGCUGUGUGACCGGCCGCGACGGUCUGUGUCUGACUGAGCACAAGGUUCCUAGCGGCCGAUCAGCUGCUUGACCCCAUCUCUGCUGAGCCGGCCGACACCGACGGAUUGACUCUGGCAACGCCUGGCCCGAGUGGCGCUACCGGCUUCCAGAGACUUCCUGACCCCUGCCGAGGUUGCACCGCUCAGCGCUGCCCUGUGAGGCGCUGACUGUGGCCGCAGCUGAGUGCGGCUGCCCCUUCACAGACAGGGCGUGCAGAAUGACGGUCGCCUGGCUGUCCCUCCCUAGGCGCCCCUGGCUAGCUCGGCUUGCCUGGCAGCGUCUGUGUCUGAGGGACGUGUUGGUGGCCGCCGCUGGCCGCAUCUGUCCCCCUGCAGGUGGGCAUCAGGUUGCCCCCGUGAAGUGCAGCUGGGGCCGAGCCUGGCUGAAGGACGGCCACCUUCUCUCCAGCUGUCCAGCGAGGGCUUCUGAGGUGGUGCCCUCCGGGGCUCUGUGGCCUGGACCUCUCCAGCCACACACAGUCAGAGCCUUAGGGGAUCCCAAGCAAGGGCACCCACAGGGAAGAGAGCCUAAGACAGAGGCCAAGGGACAGGCAGGCAGCAGGGGUGGGACUUCGGGCCAGGCGAGGAACAGCUGGAAGAAGCUCCGGGGCUGGGAGGAGGCCGCAGGACCUUGAGGUGCCGGAGUUUAGGGAUCCGAUUCUGUAAGGGAGGCAGCACCUUGAGGAGUUGGGUUGGUGUGUGGGGUCCUCAGGACACGAUCCCUGACUUUGAAUACCUUUUUUUGCGGGUUUUGGGGAAAUCUCUGUCAGUGCCUUGCUGCUCUGCAGAAGGGUCAUCCCGCAGACCUCAGAUCUCUUCCCGAAUUAAUUAAUUUAUUUAUUUUUAUUUAUUUUUUUCUUUUUUUGAGAUGGAGUCUUGCUCUGUCGUCCAGCCUGGAGUGCAGUGGCCCGAUCUUGGCUCACUACAAACUCCGCCUUCCAGGUUCAAGCGAUUCUCAUGCCUCAGUUUCCCAGGUAGCUGGGAUUACAGGUGUGCGCCACCAUGCCUGGCUAAUUUCUGUAUUUUAGCCGGGGGUUUGUAGAGACAGGGUUUUGCCAUAUUGCCCAGGCUGGUCUCAAACUCCUGGCCUCAAGUGAUCUGCCCACCUUGGCCUCCCAAAGUGCUGGGGUUACAGGUAUGAGCCACUGCACCCAGCCUCUUCCUGAAUUUAAAUCUCUCCCAGCCUGUGUGUGUGUGUGUGUGUGUGUGUGUGUGUGUGUGCCAGCCACACCAACCACAUGCAAUGGCUUCCCCCCUGGAAGGAGUUGUUCUGUACCAGAAUAAGGGGGAAGGAAAUACUGGUCAGAGGGAUUUAUUUUUUUAAAGCAAGCAUGGGUAUGCUAUGAGUUAUUGCUAUUAAUAAUAAUACAAUGAAAGCAUCAGACUAGUUUAUUUCGAACUAGCUCUAGCAUGCUAAGAUGUUGCCUCUCCAUUAAUAACAGGGCCCUGGCUGCCUCGUUGAUUUCAUUAUAGGCCAUGGGAGGAAUGGGAGGAAAUGAACAGCUUCACUCCCAAGGGCUUUCAUAACAUGGAUUUGGAUCUCAGCCAGUGUGGGCAGUGGGGCUUCCCGGGGGCAGGGGACUCCUGGGGUGCUGGGAAAAAGAGGCAGCAACAAGUUGCAUGGAGCAUUUGUACCUCAUUUAUUUAUUCAUUUAUUCAACAAAUAUUUAUUGAGUACCAUGUGCCAGGCACUGUGCCAGACUCUCACUCUGUCCUCAUGGAGGAUAGCCUUAUGGGAUCCAGGAAACCUCUCCAGUGCCUCCCAACUCUGGUCCUGUCAAAGCCACAUGCUGGGUACCAACUGCUUUCUUUCUGAGCUAGCUGCACAGCUAAAAUGGGAGAGCUAGUAGAGUACAGUGGUCCUGAAAUUGUGGUCCUUGGACGAGCAGUAUCUGGACCACCUGGGAACUUAUUAAAAUACAAAUUCUCAGGUCAGGAGAUCGAGACCAUCCUGGCUAACACAGUGAAACCCUGUCUGUAUUAAAAAUACAAAAAAAUUAGCCAGGCGUAGUGGCGGGCGCCUGUAGUCCCAGAUACUUGGGAGACUCAGACAGGAGAAUGGCGUGAACCUGGGAGGCGGAGCUUGCAGUGAACCGAGAUUGCGCCACUGCACUCCAGCCUGGAUGACAGAGCGAGACUCCAUCUCAAAAAAAAAAAAAAAAAUUAUCGGGCCCUAUCUCAGAUGGACUGAAUCAGAAACUAUUUUAGUGUAGGGCACAGUGAUCUAUGUUUUAACAAGCCUCCAGGUCUUGCUGAUGUCCUGAGAACCAGGACAAAGUCGUGCUAAAGUCUGAGAACCACUGGUGGAAUAAUUAAUUGUGUUGGCUCUAGUAUCACACUGUCCAUAUCAGAAUCUCAAUGCUACUACAUAAGAGCUGUGUGACUUUGACCAAGUUAUUGAAUCUUUCUGUGCCUUAAUUUUCUCAUUUGCAUAAUUGGUAUAAUUAUGAUUACCCUAAACCAUUGUUGUACAUAUUACAUCACGUGAAAAGGUUAGCGCACAAUUUCAGCUCUAGGAACAUAUCCUGUGGACAUAUUUCUUUUCUUUCUUUCUUUUCUUUUCUUUUUUUUUUUUUGAGACAGUUUCGCUUUUUUCACCCAGGCUGGAGUGCAAUGGCACAGGCUUGGCUCACUGCAACCUCUGCCUCCCGGGCUCAAGCAAUUCUCCUGCUUCAGCUUCCCAAGUAGCUGGGAUUACAGGCACCCUCCACCACGCCCGGCUAAUUUUGUAUUUUUAGUAGAGAUGGGGGUUUCACCAUGUUGGCCAGGCUGGUCUCGAACUCCUGACCUCAGGUGAUCCACCUGCCUCAGCCUCCCAAAGUGCUGGGAUUACAGGCAUGAGCCACUGUGCCCGGCCCUGUGGACAUAUUUCUGCAUAUGCUGAAAGACAAGUGUAAGGGAUAUUCAUUAAUUUGUUGUUUAUAAACACACUAUUUAUUUAUUUAUUUAUUUUUGAGAUGGAGUCUCGCUCUGUUGCCCAGGAUGGAGUGCAGUGGCACGAUCUUGGCUCACUGUAACCUCUGCCUCCCGGGUUCAAGCAAUUCUGCCUCAGCCUCCCAAGUAGCUGGGAUUACAGGCGUGCACCACGGCACACAGCGAAAUUUUGUAUUUUUAGCAGAGAUGGAGUUUUGCCAUGUUGGCCAGGCUGAUUUCAAACUCCUGACCUCAGAUGAUCCACCUGCCUUGGCCUCUCAAAGUGUUGGGAUUACAGGCAUGAGCCACUGCGCCCAGCCAAUGCAUUCAUUUCUGUAAAAAAAAAAAAAAAAAAAAAAAAAAAAAUCUUUAUAAAAUCUUUUUUUUUUUUUGAGACAGAGUUUCACUCUUGUUCCCCAGGCUGGAGUGCAAUGGCGCGAACUCGGCUCACCACAACUUCUGCCCCCUGGGUUCAAGUGAUUCUCCUGCCUCAACCUCCCAAGCAGCUGGGAUUACAGUCAUGCACCACCACGCCCGGCUCAUUUUGUAUUUUUUUAAUAGAGACGGGGUUUCUCCAUGUCGGUCAGGCUAGUCCCGAACUCUCAACCUCAGGUAAUCCGCCCGCCUUGGCCUCCCAGAGUGCUGGGAUUACAGGAGUGAGCCACCGUGCCCAGCCUAUAAAAUCUUUAUACAGAUACAGGCUCAUGUACAUCUGAAAGGAUACUCAAGGAACUGGUAACAGUGGGAGAAGAAAUGGGUGGCUGGAAACAGGAGAAGGGAAACAUUUUUACCAUACAUACACCCUUUUAUGACUUUUAGAUUUUGCAGUAUGUGCAUGCAUUUUCUAUUCACAAAAAUGAAAUUUUUUAAAAAAGGGGGCAGUACUUAGCACAAUGCCUAGCAGUGGUGGCGGUGGUGGUGAUAGCCUUUCUGCAGCUCUGGGCAGAUGAUUCACUGCAGAAAUGCAGCCCAGAGAUAUCUAGAGGCUGGCCAUAGCCUCCAGACUGUCCUCCUAGCCUCUCGGUCUCCCUUCUUCAUUCUAUAUGAUCCAUGUUUCCCCAUCGGAGAAUCUUUGCAUUUUAGAGAUGUAAAGGGGCUUCAGAUUUUCUAGUGCAACUGUUUUAACGGUGAAGAAACUAAGCCCCCAAAAGAUGCCAUAACCAGUCCAAGGUUAUCAACAGGGUUCAAUCUAGGGCCUCUUUUACACCAUCCUAAGUUUUCUAAAAUUCUGCUGUCAUUCCAUCACUGCUCUGCCCGUGAAUCCUCAACCUGGCUAUUAAGACUAGCUGUGGUCUAGGCCAAGCACAGUGGCUUAUGCCUGUAACCCCAACACUCUGAGGCCGAGGUGGGCAGAUCACUUGAGGUCAGGAGUUUGAGACCAGCCUGACUAACAUAGUAAAACCCUGUCUCUACUCAAAAUACAAAAAUUAGCUGCGUGUGGUAGUGCACAUCUAUAAUCCCAGCUACUCGGGAGGCUGGGGCACAAAAAUUGCUUGAACCUGGGAGGCAGAGGUUGCAGUGAGCUCAGAGUCUCGCUCUGUCUCAAAAAAAAAACCCACAAAAAACUAGCUGUGGUUUAACUCCCAACCAAAUUUCCAGCCUUAUUUGCCACCCUUUUCUUCUAUGUGAAUCCUCUACCUUAGCCAGAUAGUUCUCUUUAUUGACUCCAAAUGCUCCUGCUUUCCAAAUGCCAUACUCUCUGCCUGAAAUGCCUUUCUCUUUCCUGUCCAUUUAUUGUGGAGAUUCUACCUAAACAUGGAAGCUAAGCUUAAAUCAUACUUCCUUCAGGAAGUCUUCCCUGAUUACUUCAGCUCACAGAGCUGUCUCCCUCUGAACUAGUUAAAAAAGUUCUUGUGGCUGGGCGCAGUGGCUUACACCUGUAAUCCCAGCACUUUGGGAUGUCAAGGCAGGCGGAUCACUUGAGGUCAGAAGUUUGACACCAUCCUGGCCAACAUGGCAAAAUGCCAUCUCUACUUUAAAAAAUACAAAAAUUAGCUGGGUGUGGUGGUGGUGCAUGCCUGUAGUCCCAGCUACUCGGGAGGCUGAGGUAGGAGAAUUGCUUGAACCUGGGAGGCAGAGGUUGCAGUGAGCUGAGAUAGUGCCACUGCACUCCAGCCUGGGUGACAGAGUGAGACUCCAUCUCAAAAAAAAAAAAAAGUUAUUGUAAAAAACUCCUGCUCCUUAAGAGGGACGUAGGAUGUUUGUCUGCUUCUUGGGUAAUGGGAAAUUAACUUGGAUAGAGCUCAUUCCUCAUUCUCUAUUUCUGCAGCUAUAAAAUUGGGCCAAUAACCUUAGCCCUCCUUAUUGUCUCAGGAAAGCCCUGGGUGAGGAUGCCACUGAGCCCGCCUGGAGCCAGGAGCUGGUCUGCAGAAACUGCUGGGCCUGUUUCUACUCUGAUGUUUACUUGGCCUGGAGGCCCAGUGUGAUGAAACCCGGCCCUGUUGCCGAGCACCUUGGGAAGCCUCCCUCCAGGGUCCCUCUGUGCUCAGACAGUGGCCCUUUGUAGAGUGGAGGAGCAGACUGAAAGCGGAGCUGCUGGAAACCGUUUCCUCCCCUCUGCCUCGAGCAACCUCCUCCCGCAGCCACAGACCAUCCUGUGCCUGGGUGGCCUCUGCUUUAAGUCUGCAGCUGGCGGGGUAAGAUAGGGUCUCUAGGCAGCCUGCUAGGCUGGAAGGGUGAGGAGGGGUCCUGGCAGGAUGGCCAGCUGAAACACAGCAUCCCCUAACUCAAUACAGAUCACUUAUAACAGGGCUUUCCAAAGAGGAGACUGGCCCCUUACAGGCAAGAUUGACAUUUCACCAUCCCCUGCCACCACUCAAUAAGCGCCUAAGAUUUAGGCUAGAAGUGAUGUGGUUUGUCCCUUCUGUCCCUACUUCACUGGCCCCUAUACUCACUAGCGGGGGGGAUUGGGAAUCCUUAGACAUAAUCCCAAACCUGGUGGAGUAGGAGUUCAGUAAGUGGGGAAGAACUAGGAACAAGAGGAAAGAAGGUUUAAGAGUGUGGUAUAGGCUGGGCACGGUGGCUCAUGCUUGUAAUCCCAGCACUUUGGGAGGCUGAGGCAAGCGGAUCACUUGAGGUCAGGGGUUUGAGACCAGCCUGGCCAACAUGGUGAAACCCCAUCUCUACUAAAAAUACAAAAAUUAGCCAGGCAUGGUGGCGGGCGCCUGUAAUCCCAGCUCCUCAGGAGGCUGAGGCAGGAGAAUCGCUUGAACCCGGAAGGCAGAGGUUGCAGUGAGCCAAGAUGGCGCCAUUUCACUCCAGCCUGGGCGACAAGAGUGAGACUCCGUCUCAAAAAAAGUGUUGUAUAGGUGAAAGGACACUUAACUGGUCUGGGGGGCAGGAAGCCUGGGAUUCCAUUUCUGCUGAGCUACUGACUUGCUGGGUG